This 793-nucleotide ribosomal RNA is filed under the name uncultured archaeon. Its description in RNAcentral is "bacterial SSU rRNA". It matches the Rfam family "Archaeal small subunit ribosomal RNA", at positions 85 to 879 of the family's 1478-position model. The record is from RNAcentral.
ACUGCUCAGUAACACGUGGACAACCUGCCCUUAGGUUGGGUAUAAACCCGGGAAACUGGGUAUAAUACCCGAUAGGUCUCGAUUGCUGGAAUGCAUCGAGAUUUAAAGCUCCGGCGCCUAAGGAUGGGUCUGCGGCCUAUCAGGUAGUAGUGGGUGUAGCGUACCUACUAGCCUACGACGGGUACGGGUUGUGAGAGCGAGAGCCCGGAGAUGGAUUCUGAGACACGAAUCCAGGCCCUACGGGGUGCAGCAGGCGCGAAAACUUUACAAUGCUGGCAACAGCGAUAAGGGAACCUCGAGUGCCAGGUUACAAAUCUGGCUGUCGAGAUGCCUAAAAAGCAUUUCAUAGCAAGGGCCGGGCAAGACCGGUGCCAGCCGCCGCGGUAACACCGGCGGCUCGAGUGGUAACCGUUAUUAUUGGGUCUAAAGGGUCUGUAGCCGGCCGGAUAAGUCUCUUGAGAAAUCUGGCAGCUUAACUGUCAGGCUUUCAGGAGAUACUGUCUGGCUCGAGGCCGGGAGAGGUGAGAGGUACUUCAGGGGUAGGGGUGAAAUCUUGUAAUCCUUGAAGGACCACCAGUGGCGAAGGCGUCUCACCAGAACGGACCUGACGGCAAGGGACGAAAGCUAGGGGCACGAACCGGAUUAGAUACCCGGGUAGUCCUAGCCGUAAACUAUACUCGCUAGGUGUCGGCCACGGUGCGACCGCUGUCGGUGCCGUAGGGAAGCCGUGAAGCGAGCCACCUGGGAAGUACGGCCGCAAGGCUGAAACUUAAAGGAAUUGGCGGGGGAGCAC